RNAcentral lists this transfer RNA (92 nucleotides) under Desulfamplus sp. RNAcentral's name for it is "tRNA-Ser". It matches the Rfam family "tRNA". Rfam says of the family: Transfer RNA (tRNA) molecules are approximately 80 nucleotides in length. Their secondary structure includes four short double-helical elements and three loops (D, anti-codon, and T loops). Further hydrogen bonds mediate the characteristic L-shaped molecular structure. tRNAs have two regions of fundamental functional importance: the anti-codon, which is responsible for specific mRNA codon recognition, and the 3' end, to which the tRNAs corresponding amino acid is attached (by aminoacyl-tRNA synthetases). tRNAs cope with the degeneracy of the genetic code in two manners: having more than one tRNA (with a specific anti-codon) for a particular amino acid; and 'wobble' base-pairing, i.e. permitting non-standard base-pairing at the 3rd anti-codon position. Lineage: Bacteria; Pseudomonadati; Thermodesulfobacteriota; Desulfobacteria; Desulfobacterales; Desulfobacteraceae. The record is from RNAcentral.
GGAGAAAUGGCCGAGAGGCUGAAGGCACUCGCCUGCUAAGCGAGUAAUCGGGUAAAACUGAUUCCAGAGUUCGAAUCUCUGUUUCUCCGCCA